GUACUGAUGAAGAGUUCUUACCUAGGACGAAACAGCUGUCCAGUAU
This 46-nucleotide non-coding RNA is filed under the name Trichobilharzia regenti. Lineage: Eukaryota; Metazoa; Platyhelminthes; Trematoda; Strigeidida; Schistosomatidae. The record is from RNAcentral.